Molecule: ribosomal RNA, 329 nt
Filed under: Klebsiella quasipneumoniae subsp. similipneumoniae
Lineage: Bacteria; Pseudomonadati; Pseudomonadota; Gammaproteobacteria; Enterobacterales; Enterobacteriaceae
Description: partial 23S ribosomal RNA
Rfam family: Bacterial large subunit ribosomal RNA
Source: RNAcentral
GCACUACGGUGCUGAAGUAACAAAUGCCCUGCUUCCAGGAAAAGCCUCUAAGCAUCAGGUAACAUCAAAUCGUACCCCAAACCGACACAGGUGGUCAGGUAGAGAAUACCAAGGCGCUUGAGAGAACUCGGGUGAAGGAACUAGGCAAAAUGGUGCCGUAACUUCGGGAGAAGGCACGCUGGUGUGUAGGUGAAGUCCCUGCGGAUGGAGCUGAGACCAGUCGAAGAUACCAGCUGGCUGCAACUGUUUAUUAAAAACACAGCACUGUGCAAACACGAAAGUGGACGUAUACGGUGUGACGCCUGCCCGGUGCCGGAAGGUUAAUUGAU